UGUCUUCUAGACUAGAUGCUGCCUAAUUCAUGAAUUAUUGAAUAAAGCCAGUAAGAUCUGUAAAGUUUACCUAGUUGAAUUCUGUUUGUUUACAGUUUGAUGGCCGUGGUUGAAUCUGAAGGAGACUACCAAUGGCUCUGAGGACAAUGGGGGACACAGACGUCUGUCCCCAUGAACACUUCCACUUCGCUGGCUUCUCAUCACUCCCAAGUGCUGUGUGAGCUCCCCUCAGGCUCCUCACCUGAGCACUCGCAAUCUGCUCAUCUUCCACCUGAGCUGACUUUCCACUCUGAAGAGGCUACAAGACUGAAACCAAAGUCCUCCAAGUCUUGAAUUCCUUAAGAAAACUCAACCUUCUUAAUAUUAAAAGAGCUGAUAACCACCACACAAAUGAUCACCCUGAGACUGGAACACGAGAAAAGGACCGAAGAGCCUGAGCAACAUAAAGAAUGUGGAUCCGCCCUGGUGACCUCCGGAUGCCACGGAGAUGCAGCAAAACACUGUAAGAAUGCCAGAGCCAUCACUGGUGAGGGAGUGGGGAGUGCUGAUACCUUAAAUUUCUAUCACCUCUC
This is a non-coding RNA of Odocoileus virginianus texanus, 572 nucleotides long. The record is from RefSeq and is a predicted model, not a curated record. Lineage: Eukaryota; Metazoa; Chordata; Mammalia; Artiodactyla; Cervidae.